This 18-nucleotide small nuclear RNA is filed under the name Arabidopsis thaliana (thale cress). RNAcentral's name for it is "snRNA_06136". Lineage: Eukaryota; Viridiplantae; Streptophyta; Magnoliopsida; Brassicales; Brassicaceae. The record is from RNAcentral.
UGAGUUUAAGCAUAUCAA